CUCACGCAACAGAAUCAUAGUACUUCAUUGCUGGAAAGCAUUUUGGGGUUCAUUUAAACCAGUGGUUAGCAAACUUUUUCCUUAAAGGGCCAGAUGGAAACUAUCAGGCUAUACGAUCUGUCAUAGCUGCUCAACUCUACCUUUGUAAGUGAAAGAAGCUGGAGAUAAUCAGUAAAUGAAAGGGUGGAAGAUUCUGCAUUUCUGACAAGCUCCCAGAUGAUUCUGAUGCUCCUAGUUCUAACACCCCAUGUUGAGGAACAAGAAUAGAAGCCAAACAUCUCAAGUUCCAGAGACCAAGUGCUCAGCGUGGUAAAAGUUCUGAAAAGAACCAGAAGCCAUGACAGAUGCUCCCGAACCUGACGGACAAGCUGAGGAAAAGCUGAGGAGCAGACUCAGGUGACUUCAUGCCCAGAUGACGCCGCCAACCCGAGGCCCCUGACCUGGAGAGGAGGGAACAGAGCAGCGACCCUCGAGAAGAGAAGAUAGGACAACAAUUGCAGAGGAGUUACCCUAAGAC
Molecule: long non-coding RNA, 517 nt
Organism: Mirounga angustirostris (Northern elephant seal)
Lineage: Eukaryota; Metazoa; Chordata; Mammalia; Carnivora; Phocidae
Exons: 3
Source: RefSeq, a predicted model, not a curated record